GACGAACGCUGGCGGCGUGCCUAAUACAUGCAAGUAGAACGCUGAAGGAGGAGCUUGCUCUUCUGGAUGAGUUGCGAACGGGUGAGUAACGCGUAGGUAACCUGCCUGGUAGCGGGGGAUAACUAUUGGAAACGAUAGCUAAUACCGCAUAAGAGUAGAUGUUGCAUGACAUUUGCUUAAAAGGUGCAAUUGCAUCACUACCAGAUGGACCUGCGUUGUAUUAGCUAGUUGGUGGGGUAACGGCUCACCAAGGCGACGAUACAUAGCCGACCUGAGAGGGUGAUCGGCCAAACUGGGACUGAGACACGGCCCAGACUCCUACGGGAGGCAGCAGUAGGGAAGCUUCGGCAAUGGACGGAAGUCUGACCGAGCAACGCCGCGUGAGUGAAGAAGGUUUUCGGAUCGUAAAGCUCUGUUGUAAGAGAAGAACGAGUGUGAGAGUGGAAAGUUCACACUGUGACGGUAUCUUACCAGAAAGGGACGGCUAACUACGUG
This 495-nucleotide ribosomal RNA is filed under the name uncultured bacterium. RNAcentral describes it as "partial 16S ribosomal RNA". It matches the Rfam family "Bacterial small subunit ribosomal RNA", at positions 28 to 507 of the family's 1533-position model. The record is from RNAcentral.